GGGUAGAUCAGACAGCAAGCAGCAACCAGGGCGCCAAGGCACCCAGAGACUCACCCACCCUAUGUUUCUGCCGGAGUCAGGAGGGGACACCCAGAGACUCUUGGGACCCUUGGGAUAGCUGCAGGGGCACAGUCCCCAGGGACACUGCUACAGGCCCAGAGCAUCUCGCCAGAGAACAAUGCCAGGAUGGAGCACCAAGGUCUGUGGAGGACAGGGCAGGGCACAUGCUGAAGAUAGCUAACGGUACUCAGGGAAGACAGAGCCUGCCCUGGAGAUGCUGGUGCCAGGGGAGUGACACAUUGGAUGCUCCUGGGGACUUUGGAGGUCUCCUGAGAAAAUGUGCCCUACCAGGUAGGAAUGGAGAAGAGGAAGCAGAGCAAAGAAAGAGAGCAAGAACCAGGCUCACAACUCAGUGGAGAGAAGAAGAUGAAGAAGAGGCCGCCCGUGAGCAGCGCCAACAGAGAGAGAGAGGCAUGCAGAGAGGCAGAGAGACAGAGACAGAGAGAGACAGAGAGGUAAAAACGAAUUUUUUUUUUUUAAAUCACUGUGGUCUUAAGAGCCCUGCAUACCAACUCAUUUGACUGCCCCCAUUUUACAGAUGACACACCAGAGGCUUGGAACUGUAAAUAGCCUAGAACCAAGC
This 643-nucleotide long non-coding RNA is filed under the name Rattus norvegicus (Norway rat). Its description in RNAcentral is "long non-coding RNA NONRATT001367". The record is from RNAcentral. Lineage: Eukaryota; Metazoa; Chordata; Mammalia; Rodentia; Muridae.